This 1433-nucleotide ribosomal RNA is filed under the name uncultured bacterium. RNAcentral's name for it is "bacterial SSU rRNA". It matches the Rfam family "Bacterial small subunit ribosomal RNA". The record is from RNAcentral.
AGAGUUUGAUUAUGGCUCAGAACGUACGCUGGCGGCACGCCUAACACAUGCAAGUCGAACGAAGUAGCAAUACUUAGUGGCAGACGGGUGGGUAACAUGUAGGUAUCUGCCCUUUGGCCUGGAAUAACACGAGGAAACUUGUGCUAAUACCGGAUAAGUCUUUACGGAGAAAGCUUUAUGCACCAUUGGAUGAGCCUGCACUUGAUUAGUUUGUUGGUGGGGUAAUGGCCUACCAAGACUGUGAUCAAUAGCUGAUUUGAGAGGAUGAUCAGCCACAUUGGGACUGAGACACGGCCCAAACUCCUACGGGAGGCAGCAGUGGGGAAUCUUGCACAAUGGAGGAAACUCUGAUGCAGCGAUGCCGCGUGAGUGAAGAAGGCCCUUGGGUUGUAAAGCUCUUUCGUCGGGGAAGAAAAUGACUGUACCCGAAUAAGAAGGUCCGGCUAACUUCGUGCCAGCAGCCGCGGUAAUACGAAGGGACCUAGCGUAGUUCGGAAUUACUGGGCUUAAAGAGUUCGUAGGUGGUUGAAAAAGUUAGUGGUGAAAUCCCAGAGCUUAACUCUGGAACUGCCAUUAAAACUUUUCAGCUAGAGUAUGAUAGAGGAAAGCAGAAUUUCUAGUGUAGAGGUGAAAUUCGUAGAUAUUAGAAAGAAUACCAAUUGCGAAGGCAGCUUUCUGGAUCAUUACUGACACUGAGGAACGAAAGCAUGGGUAGCGAAGAGGAUUAGAUACCCUCGUAGUCCAUGCCGUAAACGAUGUGUGUUAGACGUUGGAAAUUUAUUUUCAGUGUUGCAGGGAAACCGAUAAACACACCGCCUGGGGAGUACGACCGCAAGGUUAAAACUCAAAUGAAUUGACGGGGACCCGCACAAGUAGUGGAGCAUGUGGUUUAAUUCGAAGAUACGCGCAGAACCUUACCAACACUUGACAUGUUCGUCGCGACUCUAAGAGAUUAGAGUUUUCGGUUCGGCCGGACGAAACACAGGUGCUGCAUGGCUGUCGUCAGCUCGUGUCGUGAGAUGUUGGGUUAAGUCCCGCAACGAGCGCAACCCUCACUUUUAGUUGCCAUCAUUAAGUUGGGCACUCUGAAAGAACUGCCAGUGAUAAGCUGGAGGAAGGUGGGGAUGACGUCAAGUCCUCAUGGCCCUUACGUGUUGGGCUACACACGUGCUACAAUGGUAUCUACAACAGGAAGCAAGACUGCGAAGUUAAGCAAAUCCCUAAAAGAUACCUCAGUUCGGAUUGCACUCUGCAACUCGAGUGCAUGAAGCUGGAAUUACUAGUAAUCGUGGAUCAGCGUGCCACGGUGAAUGCGUUCCCGGGUCUUGUACACACCGCCCGUCACACCAUGGGAGUUGGUUCUACCUUAAGGCAAGGUUUCAAACCCUUGACCACGGUAUAGUCAGCGACUGGGGUGAAGUCGUAACAAGGUA